UGUAACCGUUCUUCCAUAUCUUUCUCUUUCCCUCUGCAAUAAAGCCACAACCACAACUCACUCUCUUUUCCAAAUCAAAGAAAUGGCCAUCGCCACCACUAUAUCUAUACUACAAUCAUCCUCCGUUCGUAACGUCACCAGAAGCUCAGCUCCCAAGCGAAGGUCGCUCGAUUUUCCUUCAAUUUUUUGAAAUCGAAGCAAAUAUGAAUCUAUUUUUCGAAAUCUGAUCCUCCGCCCUCCCGCUUCGCCACUCAUAUUCCACGAUGAAUAAUGGCAACGCCUAACCACUAAUCCACUGAUAGAAUGUUGAAAUCUGAGCUUCUCAAUCACCCGAUGGUAUGGAAAAGUUGUUCCCAUCCUCAACAAUUGUUCGCUUAGCUUCCCCUCUGGACAGUUCUGGAUGCUUCUUGUCCCCAAUGGCUGUGGAAAAUUCAUCCUCAAAAGUAUGUAUGCACAUACUACAUACUUCUAGUUUAAAUUAUAUCUUUUAAUUCCAAAAUUUUAACAUUAUUUCCAAUUUAAAGCAUGGACACAAACUUUUGGGUGUUGCAGGAUUGUUCUUGCUGUGUGCAUUGAUUGCUUGUACCUUUCUUCGUCUGGAGUGCCUUCUUUCUUUUUUAAAGUAUGAAUUUCCAAUUUAAAGCAUAGAUACAAAGCUCAUUUUCUCUAUUCAAGUAAGGAAUCAUAAGCAGAAGCCUUCGGGUUGUAUAACAUCACAUAGUUUGUUACUACUUACUUUUAUUCAAAAAUUUCAAUUAUACAUUGCGCUGGGUGCUUCUUAUCAUAACCAAGUUGGCUUUUAGUUAUAAUAACAAGUUAAUUAAAUAGACAAUCACUAACAUUUCACUUCGGUUACUACUUACUCACUCAAAAAUAAAAUUACCGAUCACUCACCGACUUUAAAAAAAAAAAAAAAAAACCCACGUGGUAGAUGAAGGUCAUAUGUGGACGUAACGGUGUUAAAUAUUUUGACAACGUGGACCAAAAUCAAUUAAAUUUAAAUAGGUUUUUUCUUCCAAAUUUUCCAUUGCAUUUUUCCCAGAACACUGGGCGAUUGUCUGGGGCCCCAAAUCAAUUUCUACUCCACAACAUUACUCAAUUCUUCCUUGCAUCAAAUCCAAAUCACCCCAAAUCAAGAAACCAUUGCAUAUUGAACUCCCGUUGGAAAAAUCCCCAAAUUCAUAUGAACCCAUAAAUUCCUUUACAUGCCCCACAAAUGGCGGACAACAUUAUUAUUGAAGAAGUAAUCUUGGAGACAACAUAUGAGGGACCACAAGGAGGUAAUAUCCUAAAAUAUUUUUGGAGGAACACUUUAUUGGACCACUUUGUCAAACACUUUGUUUUUGGAAUAUCAAGUGUUGUACUCAGUUACAUUGAAUUUUCAUUUUUUUUAAUUGCAAUACUUUCUCAAAUUUUAGUGAUUAUAACAUUUUCUUCGUAUAUUUUCAUGGCUUUAUGCUAUCUAUUUUGUGGGUUUCCAUUUCUUCAGUUAUGUCAGUUUUCUUCUGAUUUUAGAGCUCUCGUUAUUACAUCUCAAUGACAAUCUUGUAUGCGGUGAUAGACUUCAAUGUUUUGCCACUUGUUUUUCUGGAAAUUUUUUUCACUAAAUAAUAAUUAAAACACAUGCUGGCCAGUAUAAAAUUUUUUUCACUAAAUUUUUUUCAGUAGUAAUGCUUCUUGUUACUGCUGAAAUUCAGGUACAGAUACUAAUUUCCCAUUUACAGAUAAAAAUUUAAAAAUAUUGAUGCUAUUGAUCUUUGGUUGCUAAUGUUGUAUAUCUUUAAAAAUACUGAUGCUACUUAUACUUUAAAAAGGCAAGACUUUGUGGAUUUAGGCAGAAGCUCAACGAUGCUACUUAAUAAAUGAAGAAAUUUGGGCAGAAAGAAUUAUUAUAUGUGGUAAAGGAAUCAUUUUGUGCAUGUAUCUUUGACCAUUUGUAAUCUGAAAUCUUGAACAGGAACUGAUUGUGAUUGUCACAAUCUGUCAUAUGACAUUUUUGGUUAAUAUCAUAUAUAAAUUGGGGAUUUAAGGGAUGACAAGAGUUCAAGUUUACAUAAGGGCACUGACUCCACAAAACACAGAAAUUUGGGCAGAAUGACACUGAUGUAUUUAGGCAAAAGGGCACUUAUAUUUUGGUUUCCCUUCAUUUUUGGGUAAAUAUCUUUACUUCAAAAAAAUUUCCAGCGAAGGAUCUUUCCACAACAAACAUAAAAUGUAACCAACAUGAACACAAAAGGAACCUAUUCAAUUAAAAACUGCAAAAAAAAAAAAAAAAAAAAAAAUCUGAUUUCCAUUGAAGAUUCCCCAACCAUCAAUACAACACAUACACCUACCACUACAACCAUUGACUCCACAAUUAUGUCAAACAGCCGAACAUCUACCAUCACCAUCUACAUUCCUACAUGAUCAAGACUUUCAAACACCAACAACAACCUACCAGUUACACAUUCAAAACACAGUAACAACCUAUUAAAUGUUCCCUGUAAUUUCAAUCAGAAUCAGCACAUAAAUUUGUGAUGUAAUCUUCACUUUGAUCAAGCCAAAUCCCAAAACAGUCUUUCGGAGUUGUUCUCCAUCCAUGAGGACUUUGUGACAGCUCUCUAACCACAAUGACACAAAAUUUGUAAGAAAUUCUAUGAUAUCAUGAAGAAUUUUCCAUGAUGAGGUAAAAUAAUUGGUUUUCUUUAUAGGGUUCGUUUCAAUUUGAGAGCGAUUCGGGGGUGGUUUGGAUUCUUGGUUUCCCUGGAGAGAUUGGUCUGGAAGGAAAGGUUUGUUGAUUUGGGUGGAAAUUGAAGGGUUGUUAUGGAGAAAAAAUGGAUUUAGGGUUCUUGGUGAAAUUGAAUUUUGAUUUGGGAAUAUGAGAAAAACGUUUCUUGCAUUUUUAAAGAGAAAAUUUUGUUUCAAAUUUGGUGAUUAAUGUCUAGUUGUCAAUAUUUAAUGCUGUUUGUUGCCACGAGGGAUUUCUGUCCGCCACGUGUACUUUUUCGUCAAGGUGGACAGAUGGAAUUGAAAUGAUGAUGGAUGGGUAAAGUUCUAUAAAAUUGAGUGAGCGUUCAGUAACAUUUUAUUUGUGAGUGAGCAAGUAGUAACCAGAUAUAAAUGUUGAUAAUGAGUUAUUUAAUUAACUCAUUAUUAUAUUGAGGUGCUUUCAGUAUCAUGCCAUGUGGUCAAGGAAGAACAUAUUAUGUUUAUUGGAAUGUGCUUAUGUAGUGGAUAAUCUGAUCCGUUUCAUUAAUCUAAAUGUAUAAUGACAUGGAGCAGCUGACGUUUAACUAAUAAAGAUUUGAAUUGCAACAAAAGCUAUAAUGAUUGUUCUUAUAUAAACAUACCAAUGGCAUGAGUUUUUCCCCUGAGGUAGUAAAUAUUACUGUUUGGAGCUGUCCACACAAAUUAUUGGCAUUGAUAUUAGUUUUCAUUUCACCACGUGAUUUAAAGCUAAAAGCAAUAUUGGUGUUGUAUUGCACUUUGGGCGCCAAUUAUUUUUGUUUGGAUUAUACAAUAUUUACAAUAAAAUUUCUUGUUUUUUGUUUUAGAGGAAGCUUUCAUUGAUGUGCCUUUUUUGGUUAGGUCUCGACUCUCUUGCUUUAAAUCUACUAUGCCUUUUUAGGUCUAUUAAUGGAUGCCCAGAUCUGGUAUGCAAUAUUCUCAACUUUAUUUGCAGGUAUAUAUGGCGCAUUUCAUUGCCUGGGAGAGGUCAGUGGUUCUUUUUUAUUUUUAACCUUGAUGAUAUUAUAUAACUUGAUGGUAUUCUUCACUUGUGAUUGUGAAUCUUCUAAUUCUUCACUGUCAUUUUGCAAUCAAUUUAUGUGGAUUCCUCUGUUUUGCUUAUUUCUCUCACAUUGCCAUACGUGAAUGUUCAGGGAGACGGAUCAAUUCCUUGUUCCAUAUUUGGCUGAAUGUGACUUGGAGUUAGUUCAGAGGCCUCCAUUUUUUCUUGCUAGCAAGGUUUUCAUUAUACUUUUUAAGUCAUAACUCUCCCUUUUGUUAUGGGAGAUUUUGAUUAAUUCCAUUUAAUCCCUAUGUUAACCAUCAAAUCAAAGCAAAUUUUCCUCUUCUUUGCCUAUCUUUGGCCCCAAUAAAUGUUGGAGGCCGUGGUUUAUGGCUUUGAAUUGGUGGUUAAUAGAGGGAUUAAAGGAAGUUGAUAAAAAAUGCUGGAAUAUAACUGAAUCACCAGCAAGUUGGGUAUCUUGAACUAUGAAUUAAAUCUCUCUCUAUCUUGCUUCUUUUUUUCCUUCUUUUUGCAUCACUCCUUGUUGGUUAUGUUGUGGGGUUGGAGUUGUUGAGGUAUACUUAUUUUUUUUGGUCGUGUUUUAUUUAACUUGACAAGCUUGAGUGGCUCGUAUUUGUAAUGAUGACUUGUUCCUAUAUGCAGAACUUAGAAACUGUUCUUCUUUUUAAUUGCUUUAGACAAUGUUUGACUAUCCUUCUCACAGGUCAAUGUAAAUUUUAGCCUGUUUUGGAGAAAGAAUAAGGGGAAUUAUUCUGAUCUUCAUCCAUGGCCACAUGUAUAAAGUUCAGGGUUAUGUUCUUAUUCGAUUUGACUAUGAUAGAUUGAUCCCUUCAAAGCUUCAGUUUAGAAAUUUAGCGAGCGUUUAUAAGAUUUUUGGGGGGACGAUAAUUUAUUUGAUAAUUUACUAUUGAUUUUCCCCGUUUUGGCUGUUAGUUAGUUUAGUUUAGUUUGCAUUUGUUUUGGUUUUGGAGAUGAUAAAAGUUUGUAAAUAAUACCUCGG
Molecule: long non-coding RNA, 4730 nt
Filed under: Olea europaea subsp. europaea
Lineage: Eukaryota; Viridiplantae; Streptophyta; Magnoliopsida; Lamiales; Oleaceae
Source: RNAcentral